This 497-nucleotide ribosomal RNA is filed under the name uncultured bacterium. RNAcentral describes it as "partial 16S ribosomal RNA". It matches the Rfam family "Bacterial small subunit ribosomal RNA", at positions 28 to 507 of the family's 1533-position model. The record is from RNAcentral.
GAUGAACGCUGGCGGCGUGCCUAAUACAUGCAAGUCGAGCGAACAGACGAGGAGCUUGCUCCUCUGACGUUAGCGGCGGACGGGUGAGUAACACGUGGAUAACCUACCUAUAAGACUGGGAUAACUUCGGGAAACCGGAGCUAAUACCGGAUAAUAUAUUGAACCGCAUGGUUCAAUAGUGAAAGACGGUUUUGCUGUCACUUAUAGAUGGAUCCGCGUCGCAUUAGCUAGUUGGUAAGGUAACGGCUUACCAAGGCAACGAUGCGUAGCCGACCUGAGAGGGUGAUCGGCCACACUGGAACUGAGACACGGUCCAGACUCCUACGGGAGGCAGCAGUAGGGAAUCUUCGGCAAUGGGCGAAAGCUUGACGGAGCAACGCCGCGUGAGUGAUGAAGGUCUUCGGAUCGUAAAACUCUUUUAUUAGGGAAGAACAAAUGUGUAAGUAACUAUGCACGUCCUGACGGUACCUAAACAGAAAGCCACGGCUAACUACGUG